UACGGGAGGCAGCAGUGGGGAAUAUUGCACAAUGGGCGCAAGCCUGAUGCAGCCAUGCCGCGUGUAUGAAGAAGGCCUUCGGGUUGUAAAGUACUUUCAGUCGUGAGGAAGACGGCGUCGUUAAUAGCGGCAUCGUUUGACGUUAGCGACAGAAGAAGCACCGGCUAACUCCGUGCCAGCAGCCGCGGUAAUACGGAGGGUGCGAGCGUUAAUCGGAAUUACUGGGC
This 227-nucleotide ribosomal RNA is filed under the name Vibrio diabolicus. RNAcentral's name for it is "partial 16S ribosomal RNA". It matches the Rfam family "Bacterial small subunit ribosomal RNA", at positions 340 to 559 of the family's 1533-position model. The record is from RNAcentral. Lineage: Bacteria; Pseudomonadati; Pseudomonadota; Gammaproteobacteria; Vibrionales; Vibrionaceae.